GUCACAGCAAAGGUGACGUAGAUGAGGCCAUUCUUGUAAAUAGACACUGCAGCCUGACGCAAUUCCAGGAGAGUUCUCUGACCACUAGUUUUCUGUGGAAAAUGACUAAGCCAGCAGACGCCUGCUUGGCUGCCGUCAUGGGUUCUUAAGGAAAGUCAGUGGUAUCUAGUCCCUCUCCAGGAGCUGCUGCCCCUCCUUGGGGGCUCCUGGCAGUCCCAGGCUCUCCCCGGCUUCUCAACCCCAUCCCUCCCUCAGGGGCUGCAGGCCAGUCACAGGCUCCCUCUCCCCCUCUCCGGGGCUCCUGGCUGGUGCCUCCAGCACAGACCCUGCCUGGCUCCCUUCUGGUGACUGGCCUCUCCCCCAGGGUCUAUCCUGCCUUGGCUCUGCCUCUGAUUUUGCUCUAGAUCAGAGCAGCAAGAGCAGCCCCCCUUUCUUGGGGUUCAGGGUUGGCACAUUGUCAGCCCCUCGCAGUAAAUGGUGACAGGGCCAAGGUCUUGUUUUAAGUUGAGGCCCAGAGCAGGGCCCCAGCCUUGUCUUCUGGCUGGCCAGGGCCCUUUGGGGUAUGCCUUGGGGGUACCCGAGGCCCCAGGCUGAGAGCUGGAAGGGAGCCUGCUCAGAGGCUGUGCCCAACAACCCCUCACCCUUCAUGUUGCAAAUGAGGAAACAGAGGCCCUUGGAGAGGGGCAGUGACCUGACCUUGGACUCCACCCUGGGUCUGUCCCCUGUUUCCCUCUCUGUGUCUCCCCAGAGGCCACAAGGAGGCAGCCUGUUGCCAUUACUCUUUGGUUUUAAGGGGCUGCAUGGGACAUAGUGGGAGGCAGCUGGAACCUGGUGCUGGGCUUUCCCAUUCCAGUGGGUUCUGACCUGCAGCUGGAUCCCUCCAUUAAUGCCUUGGGCAGCUCCCACGUGGCUCAUUGCUGCCCUCCAGAGGUCAACUGGUUUUUUAAAAAUAAAUUAUUUUCAAUGAAUAAAAAUCUGUCUCCUCUCCUUCCCAUGUCUCCCUAGCCUGAGGAUUCAAAAUCUGUAUAAUGACUAUCUAAAGUCAAACUAAACGGACUUCCACACUCACCCUCUCCAGGAUGCAUCUCCUUUUUCCUCCUGGGUCCAUCAUCCUUCCAUGGUGUGUGUAUGGGGGGGGAGUAGGUACGCUGGACCUCUGUCCUGGAAUGGUGGUCGUUGGCAAUCACAUUGAGGGGAGGAUGUCAAGUCUUUCCAGUCUGUUUGCUUUUAGUAAAAAUGGCUCUCCUGGUCCUGCUCAGCUUCCUCUGGGAUAGUUCCCACACAUCUCCCCAGAUUUCUCUGUAUCUCCCCCUUUCUCAUUUCUACAUUUCUUCCUUUCAUCCCAGUGGUCACUUGAACCCCCAUUGCUGCUCAACUCAUCCCACUGCCAUCCGGACCCAUCUUAUCACCAUCAGGAUCCAUCCCACUGUCAUCAGGACCCAUCCCACUGCCAUCAGGACCCAUCCUAUCACCAUCAGGACCCAUCCUAUCGCUAUCAGGACCCAUUCUAUCGCCAUCAGGACCCAUCCCACUGCCAUCAUCUCCCAUCCUACGUGGCUCCUACAAGGUCAGGAGAGUGGUUGCCCAGAGAGAAGCCAUAUAAUCUUAGUCUGGAGUUACCCUGUGUCUUCCCCCCUCUUAAAAUUUCAAAGCUCUUCACAGAACCAGGUUUCCAGCCCCAGGGCUUCACUUAUACCUUCCUUUGGGGACCCCAACUCUACCCCUCCAUAAAAUUCCCUUCCAUAAAACGAAAGAGUUGGGUGUGCUUUCUAGGCCUCAUUUGUAAGGUCCUUCCUGGCUUUGAUAUUCUCUGUCUAUCAUGAUAGUAAUGUUCCUAAUGCCUUAGGAAGUACACUUUGGUUUGGGGGUUUUUAUAAUCUACAUGUAUGUUAACUUUUUAAAAAAUACACAUUUCUUUAUGAAUCAUGUUGAGAGAGAAAAAUCAGAAAGGAAAAAAACUACAAGAAAAAAAUUGGGACAUAGCACGCGUUGAUUUACAUUCAAUUUCCAAUAUGCAGAUGGCAUAUUCUAUCCAAAGUUUAUUGAAAUUGCCUUGGAUCACUGAACUGUUGAGAAGAACCAAGACUUUCCAAGUUGAUCAUUGUGGAAAUACACUUUGACAAAAAGUAUGUUUGCUUUAAAAUAGAUUUUUUUAGGUCAAUUGUAUAAAGUGAAAGUAGAAUACAGAAACAAUUCAUUCUUGCCCCCAGUAUUAUCAAAUUGGUCACUGAAUAUUUCUAUAGAUUGCUUUAAUGUCCUGGGCCAUAUUUUUACUGAACAUUUUCACAUCAGUUUUUCCUUUAUUGGGAUUGAGCUCCACAAUUUUCUUUCUAGGCUCUAUCAUUCCACAUAUUGAAUAUUGGGAUAAAAUUAUCUCCAUUUAGGAAUAUAUCUUUUAUUCAUAUUCCCUUCCCUGGUGACUAUUUUUAUUGCAUGUCUAUUAAGAAAGCUCUUAAUAUUUCUCCAUUUUACACAUAAUUAUGAGUUAUUUAUGCCCAAGCAUUCACUGUUUUCAUAGGUAUGGCAUAAGUAUGCUCUUUAAUAUAACCAUUCAAUAAUUACCAGAAUCAUAUCAAAACUAUCUUUUUUUCACUGUUAUAUUCUAUAUUUCAAUGUUAUAUGAUUUCUAUCUUUCUUUUUAAACUUAGAAAGUCCUGAGAAUUUUGAAAUCAUUUUCUUCCUAUCAAAAUAUCAUUAUAUUUUAGGGUUUUCCCAAAGAACUAAAAUGCUACACCAUUCUAUGCACAUAGAUUUAUAUUUACUAUGUUGUUUCAUUUUUCUAAUCCCCUUUAAUUUACUUUUAAAAAUUAUCUCUGUGGCUUGUUCUUUAAUUCUGUCUCUGAAUCUAUUUAAAGCAUAAUGUGUUUUCCUUUUGUUUCUCUUGAGAGCAUCUAUUUUGAUCUAUUUAGUCUUACUUGAAAUCAUGGUUUUAACUCCUGCACUUUUGAUUCAAUCAAAACAUAAUAAAUUUAUUGCAGCCCUUCAAUUUAACUCUAUAUGUUUAUGUUUCAAAUAAGUUUCUUCUAUGCAGAAAAUUAUGGGGUUCUGUCUCAUCAUCUAGCCUCUCUUCCAUUUUGUGGUUGAGUUUAGUCCAUUUAAAGUUAUAAUUGGUAAGUUGUUUUCCUCUUCCUCAAAUUCUGUUACAUUCAUUUUUUUAAAAGCAGCACUGCAGUUUGGUUUAUUUGAAAGAAAUGGAUCCUAUUCUUCCCCUAUAACUACCCACUUCCUUAUACCCCCCCACCUCCACUUGGCCCAAGUUCAGAUUCUUUAAUGCAAUUUUUCAUGAGAUGAGAGGUCACGGAUUUUGAGCUGGGCAUCUCAAACUCAACAUGUCCAAAACAGGCAAAAUAUGUCCAAAAUUUUAUCUUUUGUGACUUUGACUUCAUUGGUGCUACCCCUGAAUUAUCUUCCUCAAAAAAAAGAAAUUAAAAAAAAAAUUCUUCUCCUCCUCACCACUGUCAUCCCAGUGAUAAAGGUCAACAACUUUGGUGUCAUCCUUAACUCUUCAAGACCCUCCACCCCCAUAGCGAUUCUCUUGUCAGGACUUCUGCUUCGGCUUCCACAAUGUCCCAUGCCCAUCACUUUCUCUCCACACCUAGAAUCACCAUCCCUGUUUAGCCCCCAUCACCUCCUACCUGGACUAUUGCAAUGUCUGCCUCUAAUGUCCUCCUCCUUCAAUCUAGGAUCCAUUCAAUCGUCUUUAGUUUCUUAUACAUUUAUACAGAAUUAUUGUAUACAUGACUCCCUUCACACAAUCCAGUCUAACUGGCUUUUCUGUAGAUCCUCACCCAAUAAUUCAUCUCCCACUCUGGGCCAUCCCUCCUGACCUCUGCUUCUUAAAAUCUCGUUUCUUUCUGAUCCCUGCUCAAAUACUCCAUGUGAAACUUUCUGGGGGCCCUGAAUUUUUGGUAUCCCCCCAAUUCCAUGACCUCGUAUUUACUGACCCUGUAUUUCUUGAUGAUCAGAGAAGAGAUACUGAAAAGGAUUUUCUCCCAAAGCAUCAUGGCCUGCACACAAAUGGGACCUUGGAAAGCUGAAAGCUUGACUGAUCUGAUUGUUGAGAGGUGAGCACCCAUGAAGUCGGCUGGAACUCCAGUGUGCUCAUCAUUUCCAUAGGGGGAUGACAAAGCACCAGCCUCAUCACAACUCCACAGCUAACCCCACAAGGGAGAAGGUGGCAGGAGGGUGACAAGCCUCAUUUUACUGAGAAGGAAAGGGAGCCUUAGAGCAGUCUGGGAUGUGCUCAAGAUCAAGUUGAUAUUGAUUUCCCUGGAAAAGUUGAUUUAAAAAAAAAAAGCCUGCAUCAAAGCAUAGGAGACAGUCCCACACUGGUCAGGCUGCCCUAAUGAUGGAGGGGCUAUUUUGAUGCCAGACAGGAGGACCUUGAGCCUGUCUUCUCCUCUGGUCACCAUGGGCCUAACCUGAAGAUGCCAGAAUGGGGCCUCCCAGGAUGAUGCAGACUCUCCUGGAGCCCAGAGGCCACCCUUCUCUAGACAAGAUGGGGCUGGGUGCUUACAAAUCACAGCAGAUAAUUCACAAAGGAGAAGACCCGUUCUCUGACACUGAAGAUGUGAGUGUCCCUUCUUAAAUGGAAGUGUGGUAGCAGGCGGAGGAUGGUGAAGGAGCUCGUGACCUCUGUGGAGAUUUCCUUUUCUAGGGGCCAGGAGCUAGAAUUUGGCUUCUGGUUCAGCUGGGCAUUGUGGCUUCCUUCAAAUGGACAUCUGUGAGACUGGGACUCUUCGGGAAGGGGGAAGAAAGCCAGUUCCCCCAAGUAAGGUUUUACUCCAUGAGAUGCAAGGAUGAUGCCUUUCGGAUGAGUCGUUCAGUCAAAGGAGAGCCGGGCUUCAGGGCAUCCCGCUCAAUGAGGAGGCUCCUGGGGAAACAAUGGGAGCAUCAUUUAUACCCCCUAUCCAAGAGAUCCUCCUGCUCUUUGUAUAGCCUGGUUCCUAUGGCCGGAGAUAACAAUCCUAGACAGAGUGGCCUGCACAAGACUCACUGGAUCCCCGGAACGUCAGGUGGUCCCCCAUGUGGAUUUGCCACUUCUGGGUCCACCCCUUCUCUUCUACUAGACCUUGGACUCAUGGGAAGAAUCACUUGGCAUCCUUCCCCAACACCCAUCUAAGGGGGUGCUUAAUAGUGGGCCAGGGAAUAAAAAGUGAUCUCCCAGUGCAUACUUGCUGGCUGCGAGGAGAGGAGAUGGAUGACUCUGUCCUGUCCUCUACUCAGGUGGAGGGAGGUCUGGAGUCUCUCCUGUUCCUGCCCACCUCUAGAGUCUGUGUUCAUACCAUGUUACUGCCCUUCUCUGAUGCCUGUCCAAAUCCCAGAGGCCCUGGAUUCAGAUCUUGUCUUUGCUACUUCCUACUCACAUCACCUCGAGCCAAUCACCCCCCUCUCUCCAAGGCCUCAGUGAGGUCCUAGGCAGUGGGAAGAAAAGACCAUGAGACUGCGCAUUGGAGGCCUGGUUUCACCAGCCCGUUACUGUGCCACCUUGGCACCCCAUCCACUCUGGUCCCCCGAUCCCAGGCAGUCCGCAGCCUGAAACGCAUCCUCACCAGGAUCAUAGUCACCUCCGGGAAGUCCACUGACCCAUCUGCUACUGACUAAGCAGGAUCCAAGCACGUGGGCCUGCAGGCCUAGUCUGUGCUUGCAACACUCAGCUAGUAUUCGGAAUACAUUGGAACUGUUUCCAACUGGUGCUGAAGAUCUGACACCUAAAGUCUGCCAGGGACACCAGGGACACCAGGGAUACCAAGCACCUCUUUAGGAAAUUCUAGGAGUCCCUGCUAUAAGUAGUUUCUGUCACUUGGUCCUCCAAGGCCAAAGCCUCCAAGGGUUAAGAGAGGGAUUUUCUUCUAAUGCCUCUCAUGGAACAUCUGGUCCAUGGUGGUUGCUUUGGCCCGGGCCAGGGACGGCAAUGCGAUGCACGUUUUACAAAUACUUCUGUUUGGGGUUUGAAACCCCCCCAAAAUGCCAAUAGCAAGGGCCAAUGAGGCCUUCAUGACCAGGUGAGUUCCCAUCAAAGGCCCAGCUAUCCAAGGGUACUCUAAUAAAUUCAUUGCCCUGGAGGCGUGCGCACAAUCCCCUCAACUACUACAGGCAUCACUGCUCCCAAUCACUGUAAUUUGGCAUCUGCAAAGUCACACGGCUUUUCUCGUCUCCCUGUUAUAUCUGUAGACAUAAAAAAGGGGGAAUAUGUUUGCUUGGUGUCUCUCCAUUUCCAGUUUUUAUAAACAAUUACACCACGUCGAAUCUGGCUUCUGGGUCACUGGGCCUCCCAAGAGCACGGAGGUGCUUCCCCUGUGGCAGAUCUCGCCUCUCCAUCCACCAUUCCGUCUUUGCCGGAUCAGAUGGCCGCCAGCCCCCAACUGCUGCCGACACUCAGUUGGUCCUGGUUCCCCAGCUUUGGUCCUUGAGGGGAGGGAUAAGGGUGGACAGAUCGAUCCCCUCCCGAGAGAAUUCUGAACUUGGGCCAGUGGCACUUCCUCUGUUUGCCAUCAGGUGGAGCUUUGCGGCUUCAUGACUCCUUUUCGCAUCCAGAAGGGGUUUCCGUCUGCUCCAACAAUGGACUCUAUAAUGUUUCAUGGACUGGUCUCCCAGGGCUAAGCACUGACUCCAGUCACAGAGAGACUCCGGUCACAGAGAGAGAACCUUGCUGACACACGAGAAGCGGCUGAGCCUUUCCGGAAGGGUGACAUCCUUACCAGCAUAUCUGUGACCUGGUGGAAACAGGCUCAUCCUUAACCUGAACAGGGAGGACCCAAGCUCAGGCUCAGCCUCUGACGGCUGCCCCGUGUUUGUGUGUCUGUCAGUCCUCAGACGUAAUUUUAUCACAUGCCUCUACCCGCAUGUGUCAGGGAGGGGGCUUCCAAACGAACCUCCCCGUCAGAAUUUUUUCUGGUCACUCGUCAUGACGGUGUGACUUGGCCAAAGCCCAUCGUGGGCGCGCUCCCCUGCACCUUAAAACUGAGGCCAUCGGGGCAAGCAGUCUAAACAAACAUGGCUGAGUAAUCAAUGGAAUAUCAAGGAAUGGAAAAUAAUGGAAUAUUCUUGUUCUAUAAGAAUAUUGAGCAAGCUGAUUCCAGAAAAGCCUAGAAAGACCGACAUGAACUCAUGGAGAGGGAAAUUGAAGAGAACCUGGAAAACACUGUAUACAGUAACAAGAUUGUGUGAAGAUCAACUGGGACGGAUGUGGCUCUUCUCAGCAAUGCAGUGAUUCAAGGCAAUUGCAAUAGACUCGGGAUGGAAAAUAGCACCUGCAUCCAGAGAGAGAACUAGGAAGACUGAAUGUGGAUCACAGCAGAGGACUCUUGUAGUUUUUCCUUUUGAUUUGAUUUUUUCUUGUACCACACGACAAAUGUGCUCUAUA
Sarcophilus harrisii (Tasmanian devil) is the source of this 7366-nucleotide long non-coding RNA. The record is from Ensembl. NCBI's taxonomy places the organism in Eukaryota, Metazoa, Chordata, Mammalia, Dasyuromorphia, Dasyuridae.